This 2529-nucleotide long non-coding RNA is filed under the name Marmota monax (woodchuck). Lineage: Eukaryota; Metazoa; Chordata; Mammalia; Rodentia; Sciuridae. The record is from RNAcentral.
CACAAACCACAUCUGAAAGACAAGAAGGGCACUGACUAGGGAAAGGGCAGGCAGCAGGUAGGGGAGAGGAGCCAACCUUUGGUUUCACAUAUAACUCAACACCACCUAGAAAUCUGAGGGGCAAAUCUGACUGCACAAAGGAAUCUUUUGAGUCUGACCUUAGAUAGACAGGAUUUUUGCGGAUGAAAUUCAUUCUUUCAUAAUAAAGAUGUAGUAAUAGGAGCAUCUAUUGAGUAAUUUCCCAGAAACACAAGACUGAACCAGAACUAGUCAAAGAGAUUAGGCCAGUGACAAAACUCAUCUAAGCAGAAAUGCUAAGAUUUUUUUUUUUUGAUGCUGGGGAUCGAACCCAGGGCCUUACACAUGUAAGGCAAGCACUCUACCAACUGAUCUAUAACCCCAGCCCCAGAAAUGCUAAGAUUUUUAAUUGUCAAAGUGCAUCCUGGUAGAAUGUAGCAUUCCCAGAAAAGGUCACUGUAGAAGCCUGGAGAAAAAGCAGUACAUUAGGGGCUGUGGCUGUGGCUCAGUGGUAGAGUGCUUUCCUAGCAUGUGUGAGGCACUGGGUUUGAUCCUCAGCACCUCAUAAAAAUAAGCAAAAUAAAAUAAAGCAUGCUGUUCAUCUACAACUACCAAAAAACAUUUUAAAAAAAGCAAUACAUUGGAUUUUGUUCUAAGUCCUUUGUAGACGUUUGUGAAAGAAGUAAUCGGGUGAGAUUACUUCUUUCAGAUAUUUUCUGAGCUCCUACUAUGUGCCAGGCAUGAUUUUUAGGCACUAGGGCUCCAUCUGUAAACAUCACACCUUGCUUUCAUGAGCUGACAUUCUAGUGGCAAGAGCAAUAACCAAACCAAAACAUAAUACGAUACCAAGUAGUGAUAAGUUCUGGAAGACAAGUCAGGCUGGGCGAGGUUAUGCAGGCUACUAUAAGUACCUUGUCUGGUAUGGAGACCCUUAAAUAGAAACUCGCAAGAAGAGAAAGUGUGAGGCCCAAGGUACCUGGGGGAAGCUUGAUCCAGGUAGCAGGAACAACCAUAGCAAAAACUCUGGGGCAAGAGACUCAAUGUGUUUAAGGACCAGUAAGAAGGCCUGUGUGAAUGAAGUGAAUUCAAACCUAUGACUGGGAGUCUCAAAAGUGACUGUAAGCAUGCUGAGUAUAACUGCAUAAGAUGAUAGCAAACAAGGCAGUUUCAGAAAGGCUAAAGAUUCACAAAUGUUGCACACUCAUACAUAUGGCUUUCAAAUUCAAGUCAGCUACAUUCAUAGGAGGUCGUUAAUUGGAAGGAAUUGCCACCUUGAACCCCAAAGUGUUUGUAACCUAACAAACUUUGAGCUCUUUACCCAAAUCCUUCAUUUUUCGGAUCCUAUCCUGAGCACUAUUGUCAUGGAGGGCAAGGAUGGCUGUCCAAGCUGACUAGCCAACCGGUGGAGUUGGGGAGAAGCCAGAUCACUAAGACCUGCUGCUCAUUCCUUGUGUAAAUGGAAGUAGCAGCACUCGGAUCACAUGGGCCCUCUUGUUCAUUGCCUCUUCAUCCUGGUGGUGGGGACAAUACCCACUGGGAGGGAUAAAAGGGAAUAAAAGCCAAAACUUUUAAAGUCGGUGAGAUUAAGAAGCCUAUCUGAUUUUUAAAAACAGCUCAUUGGUGUAGGCCGAGAUUCAGCACAUUAAAAAUCAAACACCAGUUGGCCCUCUCUGUGCACAGCUCUACAUCCAUGGAUUCAAUCAACCACCUGUUGAAAAUAUUUGAAAAAAUUGUGCCUGUAUUGAACAUGUACAGACUUUUUCCUUAUCUUUAUUCCUGGAACAAUGUAGUAUAAAAACUAUUUAAAUAGCAUUCACGUUGUUAAGCAUGAUAAGAAAUCUAGAGGUGAUUUAAAGUCUAUGAGAAGAUGUACAAAGGUUUUGUGCAAAUACUAUGUCACUUUGCAUAAGGAACUUGAGAGCAUCCUUGGAUUUUGGUGUCUACAGGGAGUUUGGUCUAUUCCCCACAGAUACUGUAAUAAACCAGUGUAAUAAAACACCAGAGUGGCUAAGUGCAAACCAACAGAUUGUUAUAAAAAUGUAUAUAAAAUGUAUGACAAUUCAGAUACAGAGUAGAAAUGUAGUGCUAAAAAUGUUUAUUCUAGGUGAUUUUAGAGAAUAUGUCUUCCUGGGAGGUAGGUUGGCAUCCCCAGUGGAACCAAGGCUGGAAAUGUAAGGGUGAUAAAGGGUUUGUCACUCAACCUCCAAUUCAGAUGGCCUCUUUGCAAAAGUAGGGUAAUAAUAGACAACAUCUCACAGGGUCUGGAUAAGGAUUAGAUGAAAUCAUUCACAUGAAACGUUUAGCUCAUUGCCCGACUUUGUAAAUGCUCCAUAACAUUAGCUGUUGUAAUUUUCCUCAUUUGACUAAGAGCCCGCAAGGCUGGGGACUAUUUUCUUGCUAGUCUUUGUUCCCUGCAGCACAUAGGGAACACUGAAGAAUAUUGCAGCAUCAAUGCCUGUCAGAAAUAGUUGAGGUUGGGAGGACUGGUCCUGAGGACCUGCUGCCCCGUUA